GGUUUCUCUUCAUAUGUAUAAAUCUUUUGCCUUUUACUAAAGAUUUCCAUGGAGAGGAACAAAAGA
RNAcentral lists this small nuclear RNA (66 nucleotides) under Propithecus coquereli (Coquerel's sifaka). RNAcentral describes it as "U5 spliceosomal RNA (ENSPCOG00000009197.1)". It matches the Rfam family "U5 spliceosomal RNA", at positions 8 to 74 of the family's 117-position model. Rfam says of the family: U5 RNA is a component of both types of known spliceosome. The precise function of this molecule is unknown, though it is known that the 5' loop is required for splice site selection and p220 binding, and that both the 3' stem-loop and the Sm site are important for Sm protein binding and cap methylation. The record is from Rfam by way of RNAcentral. Lineage: Eukaryota; Metazoa; Chordata; Mammalia; Primates; Indriidae.